ACGAAACUAAAAAUAUGGAAGUGGUUAUUAAAUAAUACAGCUUACAAGUAAGCUCAGAUCAGUUCUUGAUGGACAAGAAAAUGAUAAAUAUAGAAUAAAUAUUGAGACAUCAACAAUCUUAGCUCAGCCCUCUUGAUCUUUUCCAGCAUUUCACUGGUGUGUAGGUACAGUACAUAACACAAAAUCAAACCUCAAAAUUGUCUAUGUCUACGACUAUACUAUGUAGAGUUCAAGGAAUCAACAUUAAUAUCGGUGUGCCAGUAGGUAGAGCAUACCAGAAUAUUGAUCAUUGGAAGUAUUAGAAAGAUAAAACAACCUGGUUGCUUUAGCUACAAACUACCUCUUGCUGUUGGUAGCAGCUUUAGGCUUGUUUAGAUUGGCAAGUUCUUCUAUGAGCUUUCUUUCUUCACUACUCAACCGUUUUGGAAUCUCAACUUGCACUCUCACCAAUUGAUCCCCUCUCAUGUUUGGUUUGCUCAGGAAUGGCACCCCUUUUUUGGCCAUCACCAAUGUUGUCCCUGGCUGGGUACCUGCCGGAAUCUUUAGAUCAACCAUCCCAUCUACUGUAGGAACCUUCAUAGUGGUACCCAAUAUCGCAUCAAUGUAAGAAACUUUGCAAUUGUAGAGAAUAUUGGUGUCAUCCCGUUUUAAUACUGGAUCCGGGAGGACUUCAAUCAUGACAAAAAGAUCUCCGGGGGGUCCACCUCUCCUUCCUGCAUUACCUUCUGAACGAACCCUUAAACGGCUACCGGAAUCUACACCAGGUGGAACUUUCAAGCUAAUGCGUUUUGACUUCCUCACUCGGCCAUCACCGUUGCAGGUGCCGCAAGGAGUAGAAAUCUCUCCAGUCCCCCCACAAGAAGAGCAUGUUGUCACCUGCUGGAAAACACCCAGUGGGGUCCUUGCUGAGGACACAACCUGCCCUUGCCCACCACAAGUAUUACAGGUCGACGGUUUAGUCCCAGGUUUUGCACCUGAUCCAUCACAGGUACCACAAGUUUCAAGCCUGCUAAUUUCAAUCUCCUUCUCAACCCCAAAUACAGCUUCUUUGAAAUUCAAAACCAGAUUAUAGCCCUGGUCUUCACCUUCUGUGGCCCUGCUCCGAGAACCUCUACCUCCCAUACCACCCAUGCCACCCAUACCACCAAAGCCGUCGAACAAAGACUCGAAUAAAUCAAAGGCGUUGCUAAAAUCCCCCAUGCCCGCACCAGCUCCUUUAAGACCAGCCUCCCCAUAUUUAUCAUAUAUGGAACGUUUCUCAUCAUCAGACAAAACCUCAUACGCAUUGCUGAUCUCCUUAAAUUUCUGUUCAGCUCCAGGUUCUUUGUUCACAUCUGGAUGGUAACUCCUAGCAAGUUUUCGGUAAGCACUUUUGAUUUCAGAUUUACUUGCAUUUUUUGACACUCCAAGUACAGAAUAGUA
This 1422-nucleotide unclassified non-coding RNA is filed under the name Hevea brasiliensis (rubber tree). The record is from RNAcentral. Lineage: Eukaryota; Viridiplantae; Streptophyta; Magnoliopsida; Malpighiales; Euphorbiaceae.